UAUGACGUAUGCAACUUUUUACCGAAAAUCUUGCUUCAAUUAAAAAUGACAAAAUAGUUUAUUUGUAUUAUGAAGAUUUAGUGGAGGGUUUUUUGGUUUUCCUUAAUUUUUAUAAUAGUUGGAGAAAAAUGGACAAAUAUAUGACAAUAAGUUCUAUUUAUUGUAUUUUAGUUAAAAAAUAAUUGAAGAGAUUUUAAAAUUUCACAGAAUACUUUAUUCAUAUUUUCUAGAACAGUUUGUAUACUCAAAUCAUUUUGAACUAUUAAUAAUUAUUUGGCAUUCUUGUGUUUAAUUGUUUUAAUGUAGAUAAAAAGUUGUUUUGGCUGAGCACCACUGGCUGAGUAUACCUACAAAGUAUAGAGUUUAAAAUGUAAUUUUUAUAAUACAGCGGCAAUACGGUAUAACCAUCAUUGAUUUACAAAUAGUGGAGGAUACUGAAAAACAUCGAGAGAAAGUAACAAAAAUUAAAAUGAAUUUAACCAUACACAUUUAUUUUUAGAAUGAACUUAGUAUUGAAAGAUCUCGAAUACAGUAUCAGAUUCAGAACUCACAAUUGGUAGGGGAUAACACACGUCAUGCGUUACAAACGGCCAUAGCUUCUUUUUCUUCGAGUAAUUCUUCAGGUCAGUAAACCUAUAUUUGGAACCCUGUACUACUGCAAGUAUAGUGUCCUAAAUGACUAAAUGUAUUAUUAAGUUGUAUGUAAAUAUGAAUCCCUUCAUGAGGUAAUGUCGUAUGUUGAUAACUCAAAAUUAAAUAUGACCGACAGAUUAUCAUUACACUAUGUUUUUGUCUAUUUUGUCUAGUUGAUUUCAGGAAAAGUGGUCCUCGACGGUGGCGCGCCUAGUAGACUAUUUGACUCAGUGGCUCUAAAACAAGCGUGAAACAAAGCACGGCAAGUUUAAAUUAAUUACUUAUUUUAUAUUAUCUUAUAUAUGAUUAUUUUUACAUCGUAAUUUAAAUGCAGUAUUUCAUAAUACAAAUUAUGAACAAUUCAUCUAAUUUAGUAUCACGAUUUUUAUUUGUCUGCAAAUACAAAUAAUACAAUUAAUUAAUAUAACGUUAAAAAAAUAUGAGAACCACUGGUUUGUAGAAGUACCGCC
Molecule: non-coding RNA, 1103 nt
Organism: Cinara cedri
Lineage: Eukaryota; Metazoa; Arthropoda; Insecta; Hemiptera; Aphididae
Source: the annotation of a GenBank genome assembly